UACGUAGGGGGCGAGCGUUGUCCGGAUUCAUUGGGCGUAAAGCGCUUUAAGGCGGUUCGGUAAGUCGGGUGUGAAACCUCCAGGCUCAACCUGGAGACGCCACUCGAUACUGCUGUGACUAGAGUUCGGUAGGGGAUCACGGAAUUCCCGGUGUAGCGGUGAAAUGCGUAGAGAUCGGGAGGAACACCAGUGGCGAAGGCGGCUACCUGGACCAGCACUGACACUGAGGCACGAAAGCGUGGGGAGCAAACAGG
Molecule: ribosomal RNA, 254 nt
Filed under: uncultured bacterium
Lineage: Bacteria
Description: partial 16S ribosomal RNA
Rfam family: Bacterial small subunit ribosomal RNA
Source: RNAcentral